Molecule: RNA transcript, 4609 nt
Organism: Salvia splendens (bonfire salvia)
Lineage: Eukaryota; Viridiplantae; Streptophyta; Magnoliopsida; Lamiales; Lamiaceae
Gene name: disease resistance protein RGA2
Exons: 4
Source: RefSeq, a predicted model, not a curated record
GUUUAGCUUUUCAAUAAUUGAUGCCCUGCUAAGAUAAUCUUGUUUUGCUACCCCAAAUCUAAUUCUCAAUAUUUGAAAUUAAUCAGAGAGAUCGAGAGAGCAAUUUCAUUACCAUACGAUUGAAUUCUGCAGCAAAUCUCUCUUUGUAAAGCCAUGGAAGGAGUGUCUUCAGCAGCCAUUGAAGUUCUUGUCCAAAACCUGACCAACCUUUUGAGGGAUGAGUACUCUCUGCUUCGAGGUCUCGAUGAAGAUGCACAGCAGCUGCUGAUGACUUUGAGGAUGAUUCAAGCCUACUUGAAUGAUUUUGAGAAGAAAUCCAUCACACAAGAUGCUGUCAAGAUCUGGUUGAGGGAACUUGAUGCCGUGGCUUUCAAUGCUGACAAUGUCUUGGACGAACUCAACUAUCAUCUUCUCCACAAAAAAGUGAAGAAAAUGAAGACACCCCAAGCCAAAGAUAAGGUACGAUCAGGCUUCUCAUCCUCUAAUGACAUUUCACGUCGGCGUAAUAUGGCUAUCACAAUCAAACAGCUCAAUGCGGAAUUUGAAUGUGUGAAAGAAAUGGCAACAGAUCUUGGCCUUCAAAGCAUGUUUGUGAAUGCACCUGCUGCUGUUGCUCAUAGUUCCUUUGAGACGGAUUCGUUCAUUCUUGAUCCAAUCUUUAUUGGAAGAGACGACGAUCUGCCUAAAGUAGUUGACAUGUUUACCCAAAUCCAUGAUGAUCGGAUCUUCUCCAUCCUUGCUCUUGUCGGAAUGGGGGGUAUGGGGAAGACUACGUUGACUAAAAAAGUCUUUAAUCAUGAAGGGGUAAAAGCUCGAUUCGGAUCACGUAUUUGGAUUCAUGUUUCUCCAACUUUUGAUCCAAUCAUUCUUUUUAGCAAAAUACUUGAUAAGUUGACUAGAAGGAAUAGUGAUGGAGUUGAGAGCAGAGAUGAUAUUCUGAAAAAGAUUCAAGAAGCUCUCAAGACUAAAACUUAUCUUCUUGUCCUUGACGAUGUCUGGAAUGAAGAUGUUCCGAAAUGGGAAGACUUUAUAAACUCCAUGAUAGGAGCUACUUCAACUGAAGGAAAUGGCAUUAUCAUCACUACCAGGAGUGAAAGGGUUGCUGCGAUUGUUAACCCAUUUUACAUUCAUCAUUUGGAUGGCUUAUCAGAUGAAGACUGUUGGUCCAUAAUCAAAGCCAAAGCUUUUGCUGAAUAUGGAGAAGUUCCAUUAGAAUUCAAGAUGAUUGGAAGAAAGAUUGCUAAAAGAUGCCAGGGUUUACCCUUAGCUGCCAAUGUAGUUGGGAGUGUGCUACGCCGCUGCGAGUCCGAACAAGAGUGGCGUUCCAUCAAUGAAAAUUGGAUUUCAUAUGGUGAAGGAGGUGAAAGUAUCUUAAGGACAUUGAAAUUGAGCUUUGAUCACUUGUCUUCACCGUCACUCAAGAAGUGCUUUGCGUAUUGUUCGAUUUUUCCCAAAGAUCGAAAAAUGGAGAAGGAGGAGUUGAUUGAACUAUGGAUGGCAGAAGGGUUUCUUCAACCUAGCCAAAGUGAUGACAUGGAAUCCGUGGGCGACAUGUUUUUUAAUGUACUUCUACAAAACUCUUUGUUGCAAGUUGCACAUAAAGAUAAUUAUGGAAAUGUUUGGUAUUAUGUGAUGCACGGUCUUGUGCAUGAUCUUGCAUCGUUUGUUUUAUCCAAUGAUGCAGAUGGCAGUACCAUAGUUCGAUUCAUGUUUCACAAAGAAGAAUCAAGUUCUAUUAGUGAACAAGUGGCCAAGCAUUUGCGUACAUUAUUCUUCGAAGGUGGAACUUCUGGUACUAUAUCUUCUGGUACUAUAUUCUCGGACUUUAAAUAUUUGCGUAAUCUAAUUCUUUCCGGUGAUAAUUGUAAGGAGUUGCCCACUUCAGUUAGAAAGUUGAUACAUUUGAGAAACCUUGAUAUUUCAAAUACAAGUAUUGGAAACUUGCCGAAGUGGAUUGACGAACUCUAUCAAUUGCAAACAUUAAGAGCAUGUAAGUCGCAUUUGGAGAAACCGAAACUACCAAGUAUGUUGAGGCAUCUUUAUAUUAAGUGGAAUACAGAUUUGCCUGCAGAGAUUGGGAGAUUAACUUGUCUCCGAACACUGCCAUACUUUAGAGUGGGCAUAGAAAAAGGCUAUCAAAUUGAAGUUCUUGGACGUUUGAAGCAUCUUAGAGGAAAACUAGAGAUUGAUAAUCUGGAGAACUUGCGUGAAAAGGGAGAGGCUCUGAAAGCAAAUAUGUUUCAGAAGUCAAACUUAUCUGAAUUGGUGUUAAGAUGGGAGGCAGGCAAAGAAGGCGUACGAAAUGAUGAGGCUGUGUUGGAAGGCCUCCAACCUCAUGAAAAUGCAAAUCUGCAGAAGUUGACAAUUUCAGGAUUUCAAGGCAAAAGAUUUCCAGCAUGGACUCAGGAUAUGACAGGGUUGAUUGCGAUCACACUCAGUAGCUGCCAAGAAUGUGAAGAAAUCCCAACACUGGGACACUUGCCAAAUCUCAAAUCUCUUAGAUUGAGGAGAUUGAGCAAUGUGAGGUCGAUAAAUUCUUCAUUCCAUGGGACUGGGAAUGGCGAAGGAGUCAUCUUUCCAGCACUCGAAAGUAUCUUACUGUUAGAAAUGGCUGUCCUGAACGAGUGGAAAAUAGAAUUUUCCAAUGAAGUGACAGCAUUUCCACGCCUUAAGUCCUUGAAAAUGUACCACUGUUACAAUUUGGAAUGUCUGCCAGACUUGUUAUUCCGUGAUACCCUUCAUCUAUCGGAGUUGGAUAUAAGGCAUUGCUCCAAGUUGAAAGAAUUACCAGACGGUCUACACGCCCUCAAUUAUUUAGAGCAGAUGAUUAUUAGAGGCUGUCGAGAGCUGACGAAAAUGGUUGAGCCAUUUCCAAGUGGUUGGGGGAGUUUAAGUUCCCUCCGUAGUUUGGAGAUUCGUGAUUGCCAAGAGCUGACGAAAAUGGUGGAGCCAUCAGCGCCUUCGCUCACCAAAGUGUGUGUGGUGGAUCUAAAGAGUGUUCAGAAUCUACCCAAGUUUCUUGAUUGCUUGGCCGAAUCACCUUUGCUAGAGCAACUGACCGUUGUUAGUGUCCCUGAAGUCACCUUGUCCACUUCUACUGUCAAAAUCUGGCCAUUCGACAGCUUGAAAAAAUUGGAGAUGGACGUUAGCAUGCAGUGGUCAAAAGAGAAUAAUGAAGCCAUUAAAGUGAGAGUUGAUGGCAUAUUGAAAAACUGCCACUCUUCACUUUGUGAGCUAUCUUUGACAGGUCUAGAAAUGUGGGAUUCUUUGCCAGACUCAAUGCAACAUUUCAUUGCUCUUUACAGUUUAGAGUUGGAGAAUUUUGGAGUAAAAGCAUUGCCUAAAUGGUUUGGAGGCCUCUCAAAUCUAGAAAGGUUGUGCCUAUCAGAUUUUACAAACUUGAGGAGUCUUCUUCCCUCAAUGCGGAGCCUCACCAAAUUACAGGAGUUGCACAUUCGCGAUUGUCCACAGUUACGGAUUGAAUCUGAGAGGCACAAGAUCUUGAAUCGCAGCACCAAUAUCUACGUUAAUGGCCACAAGCGUUAGAUCUGUUGCUCAAUUGGCUUCAUCUUGUUCUUUUUCGGGAAUGGACCCCAACACCUUAGUGUGCUAAUUUAAUGCUAUCCAUCCAUAAUAAGCUUCCUCCACACCUGUGAUAGUCCCAUUCCUUUUUGCACAAGAGAGGCGACCUCUUCAGGACCAGCCAAGCAUUCUCAAGCAGCCAUUCAGAAUCUGAACUCCUCCAGCUGUAGCAUGAAGAAAAAGAGAGACUGGGCAGCAUGCCCUGACAGUGGCGGAUCCAGGAUCUGGAAACGGAGGGGGCAGAAUAUAUAGUAUUAGCUUGAUGUAGUGCGCACAUGACUAUUUUUUUUAUUGUUCGGGGCGACGCCGGAGCCAAACGGAGGGGGCGGACAUGGUAAUUUUACGUCCCGAUAAGGGAAAAAUAGUCGCACGGAGGGGGCGACCGCCCCCUCCUGCCCCCCUAGAUCCGCCACUGUGCCCUGACACUCGCAGAUCGAUGACUGGGUAUUGUUUAUUUAUGGGAACUUCUUUAAUAUCUUGGAGAGCUAAGAAACAAGAUACCAUCUCGAGGUCAUAGGCAGAAUACAGAGCCAUGGCUCAAGCUAGUUGUGAAGUAGUAUGGGCAAGAACACUACUUCAAGAUGUUGGAGUACCAAGAAAGAAGGUCGUUCCUCUAUACUGCUAUAAUCAAGCAGCGGUGCAUAUUUGUUCCAACCCGGUAUUUCAUGAACGCACCAAGUACAUCGAAAUUUAUUGCCACGCGGUGAGAGAAAAGUUUCUGGAAGGAACCGUCAAACCUAUGCAUAUAUAUAUUCGACACAUUGCAGCUUGCAGAUCUUCACUAAACCUCUCGGUGCAGUGGCUUUUCAAGGUGUCUUGACCAAGAUGAAUUCAAGAGUUUGUACAGUCCAUCUUGAGGGGGGAUAUUGAAGAAUGAAAAAGAGAUAGAAGCGAAGAUCAACGUGAAGAAUAAAGAGAAACACGUAGCAGUGACUGGCAAAUAAGUUGACCGUUAGAGUUAGUUAUAAGGGUUUUGAUUAUGUAGGAUCAAGCCCAUGUAUUAGCAUGCACUCGUGCACAUGCAUAU